This 545-nucleotide ribosomal RNA is filed under the name Bifidobacterium animalis subsp. lactis. RNAcentral describes it as "bacterial SSU rRNA". It matches the Rfam family "Bacterial small subunit ribosomal RNA", at positions 164 to 709 of the family's 1533-position model. The record is from RNAcentral. Lineage: Bacteria; Bacillati; Actinomycetota; Actinomycetes; Bifidobacteriales; Bifidobacteriaceae.
UAAUACCGGAUGCUCCGCUCCAUCGCAUGGUGGGGUGGGAAAUGCUUUUGCGGCAUGGGAUGGGGUCGCGUCCUAUCAGCUUGUUGGCGGGGUGAUGGCCCACCAAGGCGUUGACGGGUAGCCGGCCUGAGAGGGUGACCGGCCACAUUGGGACUGAGAUACGGCCCAGACUCCUACGGGAGGCAGCAGUGGGGAAUAUUGCACAAUGGGCGCAAGCCUGAUGCAGCGACGCCGCGUGCGGGAUGGAGGCCUUCGGGUUGUAAACCGCUUUUGUUCAAGGGCAAGGCACGGUUUCGGCCGUGUUGAGUGGAUUGUUCGAAUAAGCACCGGCUAACUACGUGCCAGCAGCCGCGGUAAUACGUAGGGUGCGAGCGUUAUCCGGAUUUAUUGGGCGUAAAGGGCUCGUAGGCGGUUCGUCGCGUCCGGUGUGAAAGUCCAUCGCCUAACGGUGGAUCUGCGCCGGGUACGGGCGGGCUGGAGUGCGGUAGGGGAGACUGGAAUUCCCGGUGUAACGGUGGAAUGUGUAGAUAUCGGAAAAGAAACAC